Juglans regia (Persian walnut) is the source of this 811-nucleotide RNA transcript. RefSeq lists it as uncharacterized. The transcript is spliced from 5 exons. Lineage: Eukaryota; Viridiplantae; Streptophyta; Magnoliopsida; Fagales; Juglandaceae. The record is from RefSeq and is a predicted model, not a curated record.
CUCCCCGUGUUUCUUUCCUCCCCAUCAUUUCAGUUUCCCCAUUUUUACCCUUCCCGUUUCUUCUCAUUCUCACAAUAUCUCUCAUCUCAGUUUCUCUCUCUCUCUCUCUCUCUUCUCCGUACCAAGUCACUCGGCACCAUUAUGGAAACGCCACCGCCGCCGGUACUCGCCGUUCGAUGCUGUAAGUGUUGAUCAGUCCCUCCCCGUCGACCCCAGCUAACGACCAACACACGACGCUAGCGUACACUGGUGCUCGCUGUCACCCUGGCUGAUCCACUACAUGCCCUCCGUUUGAACCACUAUGACCCAAUUAGUUCCAUCGCAUGGAGUUCCACUGCUCACCACCCUGCUCGUGACAUCGUGCAUCUUUACACUGCUGCCUUUCAAACUUUGGUGACGAUCAAUUUGCUUUACAUUGCUAUGGCUAUGAGAAUUUUUUUUAGAGAAGUUGAAGAGUCAGUUCAAUUGGUGAUCAGUAAUAGAAAGUGCGGGCAAGAUUAGCUGAUGAUAGAGGGUUGAGUACCUAAGGGUACUAUUGCUUUUGGAUAAACUUUAUUUGGUAGGUUGAAUUUCAGUAUGUCUAUGGGAGUUUAUGGAGAUUUAGGAGUAGUUAAGUUAUUUCAUUGGAUUAUUGUAGCGAGGACCAGUUGAGGAACUUGUGUAGUUGGCUGAAAUAGAUGAAUUUAUGUUUUGUUUUUGGAGUUUUGGAAAUUAUAUUGUAUUGAGAGACAUGAUUAUUGGUGACAUGAGCUAAUUCCUUGGACCUCUGGAAUUGGGCCGACAUGACCCAUACAUAUAGAUGAUUCAUUUA